AGAGUGCAUUUGGUGCUCAAAUAACUUGCAAGAUGACAUACGAAUGGCUGUGCAGGUGUGCCUCGGUAAUCCUGUGAAAGGAGAGCUUAAUCAAGAGGAAGAGAGUGUCUGGCAGACUGAGAACAGCUCUCCUUUAAUGAGACACCUUUCUGAAGUAAUCAAGUUUGAAGCACUUCUCUUCUUAUCAUUUCAGGGACUGUUUGCUGUAAGCAACUGCGACUGCCUCCCAGCUGCCCAGAGAAUUCAUCUCC
Non-coding RNA from Puma concolor (puma), 251 nucleotides. NCBI's taxonomy places the organism in Eukaryota, Metazoa, Chordata, Mammalia, Carnivora, Felidae. The record is from RefSeq and is a predicted model, not a curated record.